Pelobates fuscus (common spadefoot toad) is the source of this 484-nucleotide long non-coding RNA. RefSeq lists it as uncharacterized. Lineage: Eukaryota; Metazoa; Chordata; Amphibia; Anura; Pelobatidae. The transcript has 2 exons. The record is from RefSeq and is a predicted model, not a curated record.
UUCUUCAUGCCUGACUAAUCAUGGUAGCAUCACUCAUGGGUAAUACCCAAGCUCAAUCGAUAUGGGAGGGAGAACAUUUUUUUUUAAAGGAUGAGAAGACACCAAAUUGAUGCAAAAAAGGAAACUUAUAUUUUAUUAUGAAGUGUAAAUGAAGACAGCACUCUUUUGACAAUUAACGUAAAUAAUGUGGAUGCCAGCUCCAAUUUGUAAUGUCUAAUGAAGGUCACAGGGGAAAACCAAAUUCAAAUCGGGUGGAAUGAGCCUUAAUUUUCUUGAGGGUUUGAAGGUGGAAUAAACAGUCUGUUGGAUUUUCUGUAGUGACCUACAAGUGACAGUGAUGAUGCAAUCCCUGAGGUCCAGUUCAUGAAGUUUGACCUCUUUAGGAGAAGGGGACAGAAAGAAGGAUGGUAGUACUAAUUCUUGGAGAAGAUGAAAUGUUAAGAUUACUUAAGGAGGAAAAUAUUAUCUGGGCUUUAAAACCACU